This 52-nucleotide microRNA precursor is filed under the name Ailuropoda melanoleuca (giant panda). RNAcentral describes it as "mir-1302 microRNA precursor family". It matches the Rfam family "mir-1302 microRNA precursor family". Lineage: Eukaryota; Metazoa; Chordata; Mammalia; Carnivora; Ursidae. The record is from Rfam by way of RNAcentral.
UUUUUAGCAUAAGUAUGUCCCAUACAAUUUUGGGGACAUACUUAUACUAAAA